Molecule: ribosomal RNA, 497 nt
Filed under: uncultured bacterium
Lineage: Bacteria
Description: partial 16S ribosomal RNA
Rfam family: Bacterial small subunit ribosomal RNA
Source: RNAcentral
GAUGAACGCUGGCGGCGUGCCUAAUACAUGCAAGUCGAGCGAACGGACGAGAAGCUUGCUUCUCUGAUGUUAGCGGCGGACGGGUGAGUAACACGUGGAUAACCUACCUAUAAGACUGGGAUAACUUCGGGAAACCGGAGCUAAUACCGGAUAAUAUUUUGAACCGCAGGGUUCAAAAGUGAAAGACGGGCUUGCUGUCACUUAUAGAUGGAUCCGCGCUGCAUUAGCUAGUUGGUAAGGUAACGGCUUACCAAGGCAACGAUGCAUAGCCGACCUGAGAGGGUGAUCGGCCACACUGGAACUGAGACACGGUCCAGACUCCUACGGGAGGCAGCAGUAGGGAAUCUUCCGCAAUGGGCGAGAGCCUGACGGCGCAACGCCGCGUGGGUGAUGAAGGUCUUCGGAUCGUAAAACUCUGUUAUUAGGGAAGAACAUAUGUGUAAGUAACUGUGCACAUCUUGACGGUACCUAAUCAGAAAGCCACGGCUAACUCCGUG